AUCGAACGCUGGCGGCAGGCCUAAUACAUGCAAGUCGAACGAGUGGCGGACGGGUGAGUAAUGUCUGGGCAACUGCCCGAUGGAGGGGGCUAACUACUGGAAACGGUAGCUAAUACUGCUUACCAUCGGAUGUGCCCAGAUGGGAUUAGCUAGUAGGUGGGGUAAUGGCGCACCUAGGCGACGAUCCCUAGCCGGUCUGAGAGGAUGACCGGCCACACUGGAACUGAGACACGGUCCAGACUCCUACGGGAGGCAGCAGUAGGGAAUAUUGCGCAAUGGGCGAAAGCCUGAUGCAGCAAUGCCGCGUGUAGGAAGAAGGCCUUCGGGUUGUAAAGUACUUUCAGCGAGGAGGCGUUACUCACAGAAGAAGCACCGGCUAACUCCGUGCCAGCAGCCGCGGUAAUUC
This 406-nucleotide ribosomal RNA is filed under the name uncultured bacterium. RNAcentral's name for it is "partial 16S ribosomal RNA". It matches the Rfam family "Bacterial small subunit ribosomal RNA", at positions 30 to 526 of the family's 1533-position model. The record is from RNAcentral.